Long non-coding RNA from Mustela erminea (ermine), 490 nucleotides. RefSeq lists it as uncharacterized. The transcript is spliced from 3 exons. The record is from RefSeq and is a predicted model, not a curated record. Lineage: Eukaryota; Metazoa; Chordata; Mammalia; Carnivora; Mustelidae.
UGGUGUGUAAAAUGCAGCCACUGAGAAAAACAGUCUGGCUGUUUCAUGAAAAGUUAAAUGUAGCUACCAGCUGACUUAGCAGUUCCACUCCUAGUAUAUGCCAAACAGAAAUGAAAACAUAAGCCCGAAUAAAAACUUGUAUAUCAAUGUUCAGAGCACCAUUAUUCCUAACAGCCAAAAAGUGGAGACAACCUUGGAUUCUACUAUCAAAUGAAUGGAUAAGCAAAAUGUGGUAUAUACAGACAAUGGAAUAUUUGGCCAUACAAAGGAAUGAAGUACUGAAAUGUGCUGCAACAUGGAUAAAUCCUGAAAACAGUAGGGCUGUCCUUGUUUAUCCCCCUCCCAGUAACAGUCAUCCAGAGACCAUCAGGGAGCAGAGCUGAACUGGACAAUGGCAGUGUUCCGAGCACACAGAGCCCCUCUAGGUAAGGUAGCAAGCUCCCCAUGACACUGAGAUGACUCUAUCCAAGUGUAUCCAAUGAUAGUGGAU